AAGUCGUAACAAGGUUUCCGUAGGUGAACCUGCGGAAGGAUCAUUAUUGAAUUAUGUUUUCUAGAUGGGUUGUAGCUGGCUCCUAGGAGCAUGUGCACGCCUGUCUGGACUUCAUUUUCAUCCACCUGUGCACCUUUUGUAGUCUUUGUUGGGUAUGGAGGAAGUGGUCAGCCUUAUCAGCUCUCGCUGGAUAUGAGGACUUGCAGUGUGAAAGCAGUGCUGUCCGCUACUUGGCCAUGGAAUCUGUUUCCCAUCAGAGUCUAUGUUGUUCAUUAUACCCUAUAAACUGUUAUUGAAUGUCUUUACAUGGGCUUCUAUGCCUAUGAAAAUUGUAAUACAACUUUCAGCAACGGAUCUCUUGGCUCUC
RNAcentral lists this unclassified non-coding RNA (367 nucleotides) under Agaricus placomyces. RNAcentral describes it as "partial internal transcribed spacer region". The stretch from base 1 to 46 matches the Rfam family "Eukaryotic small subunit ribosomal RNA", at positions 1786 to 1831 of the family's 1831-position model. RNAcentral also lists the same sequence under 1 other name. The record is from RNAcentral. Lineage: Eukaryota; Fungi; Basidiomycota; Agaricomycetes; Agaricales; Agaricaceae.